RNAcentral lists this ribosomal RNA (468 nucleotides) under uncultured bacterium. RNAcentral's name for it is "partial 16S ribosomal RNA". It matches the Rfam family "Bacterial small subunit ribosomal RNA", at positions 28 to 507 of the family's 1533-position model. The record is from RNAcentral.
GACGAACGCUGGCGGCGUGCUUAACACAUGUAAGUCGAACGGAAAGGCCCUGCUUUUGUGGGGUGCUCGAGUGGCGAACGGGUGAGUAACACGUGAGUAACCUGCCCUUGACUUUGGGAUAACUUCAGGAAACUGGGGCUAAUACCGGAUAGGAGCUCCUGCUGCAUGGUGGGGGUUGGAAAGUUUCGGCGGUUGGGGAUGGACUCGCGGCUUAUCAGCUUGUUGGUGGGGUAGUGGCUUACCAAGGCUUUGACGGGUAGCCGGCCUGAGAGGGUGACCGGCCACAUGGGGACUGAGAGACGGCCCAGACUCCUACGGGAGGCAGCAGUGGGGAAUAUUGCACAAUGGGCGGAAGCCUGAUGCAGCAACGCCGCGUGCGGGAUGACGGCCUUCGGGUUGUAAACCGCUUUCGCCUGUGACGAAGCGUGAGUGACGGUAAUGGGUAAAGAAGCACCGGCUAACUACGUG